AAGUCUCCUCAGAACGACAUAGGCUUUUCACUGCAACAAAAAGAAAAUGAUUUGGAAAGGCAGGAUCAGUGGAGAGUAAACCAUUUUGUCUCUGAAAACCAUGUUGUUUUCGGUGGUCCAAAACAACCAUGAAACAAGACGUCCUGAAUUAACCUUCAUAGGAUUGAAAUCCUAUAAGAAAUUUUUCUAUUUGGCUAUUUGAUUCAAAGGGUUGGAGUUUUCCAAAUCCUAUACAAAUCCUAUGGAAUAGCUCAUUGCACGUAGAUUUUGGAGAAAAUUUAGUAAGAGGUCCAACCUCUUAGAAAAAUCCUUUGAGUCUAUCUCUCACUGCGUGUUUCCUGCGACCCAAUCAAACAAUUAUUCGUAUGUUUUUCUUGUGUUUUGUAAUUCUCUGUUUUACAUUUGCAUUUCUAUAAUCAUGUUUUUUAUUUCAUUCAUAUGAUUUAAAUGAUUUAAAGAGACCCUUACCAUACCAUGCCAGCAGCCCAGCACGUCGUGGCACACGUACGGCAGCCGACGCCAUCGUUCGUGCCGUGACCAUGACGCGGCGAGGCGAGGCGAGACGGCAUGGCUGGCCUCACCGCCGCCCUAGUGUCGGAGGCCGGAAAUUUCCCGGUUCACCGCUCCGGCCGGCCUGC
This 638-nucleotide long non-coding RNA is filed under the name Oryza sativa (Asian cultivated rice). RNAcentral's name for it is "long non-coding RNA (OSAT_LNC001108)". Lineage: Eukaryota; Viridiplantae; Streptophyta; Magnoliopsida; Poales; Poaceae. The record is from RNAcentral.